This 156-nucleotide unclassified non-coding RNA is filed under the name soil metagenome. Its description in RNAcentral is "partial internal transcribed spacer 1". The record is from RNAcentral.
UAAUAAGUGUUUUAUGGCACUUUUUAAAUCCAUAUCCACCUUGUGUGCAAUGUCAGUCGGAUUCUUUUCGUCAAUGAAAAGGAUCGACCAAACAUCAACCUUAUUCUAAUUGAACUCUUUGUCUGAAAAAUAUUAUGAAUAAACUAAUUCAAAAUA